AGAAGUCAGCUGCCAUGUUAAGAGGGUACUUAGGCAGGCCUGUGGAGGGGCCCAUGUAGAGAGGAAUUGAAGCUUUUUGCCAGCACCCAGCGGGGAACUGAGGUCUCCUGCCAAUAGCUGCCGAAGUGAUCCAUCAUGGAGCAGAUUGUCCAGCCACAGUCAAGCUUCAGAUGACAACCACCCCAGCUGACAGCUUUAUUGCAAACUCAUAAGAGAACCUGAGUUAGAACAACAUGGCUAAUCCACUUCCAUAUUCCUGACCCUCCAAGACUGUGUGAGGGUCUUCUGUUUGAUCUGCAGCAAGAAGAAAACACUGCUCCUCUACUACAUGAUGCACUUGGCUUCUAAACCCCAAGCUAACCAGACUAUCCUAUAUCCUCUAUCUGCUCCAUUCACCUGUAUAUCCCCUCUUGUGGA
Molecule: long non-coding RNA, 417 nt
Organism: Herpailurus yagouaroundi (jaguarundi)
Lineage: Eukaryota; Metazoa; Chordata; Mammalia; Carnivora; Felidae
Exons: 3
Source: RefSeq, a predicted model, not a curated record